Molecule: small RNA, 637 nt
Filed under: Pan troglodytes (chimpanzee)
Lineage: Eukaryota; Metazoa; Chordata; Mammalia; Primates; Hominidae
Description: retained intron
Source: RNAcentral
ACUGAGCACCGAGGGGCAGUUGGCAGCUUCACCUCAGAGCUGCAGGAAGGAACGGGGCAGUGAAAAUCGAGUCGGGUGUGAUCCUAGGCCAAGCUCAUGGCCCAGCAGGGCCAGCAGGGGCAGAUGGCAAGUGGAGACAGCAAUCUCAACUUCAGGAUGGUCGCAGAGAUCCAGAACGUAGAGGGUCAGAUGCAGGAGCAGGUUUGCCCUGAGCCCAUUUUCAGGUUCUUCAGAGAAAACAAGGUGGAGAUUGCAAGUGCAAUAACAAGGCCAUUUCCUUUCCUUAUGGGCCUCCGAGACCGCUCCUUCAUCUCCGAGCAGAUGUAUGAACAUUUUCAAGAAGCUUUUAGAAACCUGGUCCCAGUGACAAGAGUGAUGUAUUGUGUACUCAGUGAACUGGAGAAGACAUUUGGCUGGUCACAUCUGGAAGCAUUGUUCAGCAGGAUUAACCUGAUGGCCUAUCCUGAUUUAAACGAGAUUUACAGAAGCUUCCAAAAUGGUAACUAUAGCUCUCAACAGCUUUGGGGGAUUCAAGCCCAUUUCAUUCAUUGAUUCAUUCAUUCACUCUUCAUUCAUAUUUGACAAAUGUUUGACUGAGUGACUAUUACAUGCCAAGCCCAGGGGGAAUAUAAUGAUG